This 218-nucleotide long non-coding RNA is filed under the name Medicago truncatula (barrel medic). RNAcentral's name for it is "long non-coding RNA (MTRU_LNC002111)". Lineage: Eukaryota; Viridiplantae; Streptophyta; Magnoliopsida; Fabales; Fabaceae. The record is from RNAcentral.
UUAUAACAUUUGGCAAAAGGGUGCUUAAUGAAUCAUAACAUUGAUUCAAGUGUAUAUGAUCAUAACCUUUGACAAAGGGGUGCUUAAUGAAUCAUGGCAUUGAUUCAAGUCAAAGGGGUGUUUUCUCUCAUUUGAAGAGUCAUAUAAUGCACUAUAAAUGCUUGGCAUUUGUGCAUUAGUUGGACACACAACAACACACAAUUUUGGACAGAAUUUUG